ACACCGAUGGUGAAGCGGUUAUCAUGCUUGCCUUCCACAGAGUUCACAGAGCAAGCGGCAGGGGUUCGACUCCCCUUCGGUGUA
Mucidula mucida is the source of this 84-nucleotide non-coding RNA. Lineage: Eukaryota; Fungi; Basidiomycota; Agaricomycetes; Agaricales; Physalacriaceae. The record is from the annotation of a GenBank genome assembly.